GCUACUUGCAUCCGCAAACAUGAUUUUCAGGCCAUCAAACGGCCCCAUAAUGAAGAUGUAAAGUUUGUCAAUGCGUUCAAAUCGUUCCCUUUAGUGGAGAAGUGCUGAAGUUUGCCAACGUUUGGAACACAGUCUUGAGGUUCUUGGAGUUGCAGUCUUGGUUCUUGGAGUUGCUGCAAUAGAAGAAAGGAAGGUGUUCCUGAAACAAUCGAUCUGCUUCGGAAGGCUGGAAUCAACUUUUGGAUGCUUACUGUUGAUAAACAAAAUACAGCCAUUCAGAUAGCGCUAGGGCUGCACAACGAGUCGAGCUACUCGAGCUCGACUCGUAAGCACAUUCGAGCUGCUUAUUUAGUUAAACGAGUCGAGCUCGAGUUGACAAGCCGACUCGUAGCUCG
Long non-coding RNA from Nymphaea colorata (pocket water lily), 395 nucleotides. RefSeq lists it as uncharacterized. The record is from RefSeq and is a predicted model, not a curated record. The transcript has 3 exons. Lineage: Eukaryota; Viridiplantae; Streptophyta; Magnoliopsida; Nymphaeales; Nymphaeaceae.